AGUGAACGCUGGCGGCAGGCCUAACACAUGCAAGUCGAACGGCAGCACAGAGGAGCUUGCUCCUUGGGUGGCGAGUGGCGGACGGGUGAGGAAUACAUCGGAAUCUGCCUUAUCGUGGGGGAUAACGUAGGGAAACUUACGCUAAUACCGCAUACGACCUACGGGUGAAAGCGGAGGACCGCAAGGCUUCGCGCGAUAAGAUGAGCCGAUGUCGGAUUAGCUAGUUGGCGGGGUAAUGGCCCACCAAGGCGACGAUCCGUAGCUGGUCUGAGAGGAUGAUCAGCCACACUGGAACUGAGACACGGUCCAGACUCCUACGGGAGGCAGCAGUGGGGAAUAUUGGACAAUGGGCGCAAGCCUGAUCCAGCCAUGCCGCGUGUGUGAAGAAGGCCUUCGGGUUGUAAAGCACUUUUGUCCGGAAAGAAAAGCUUCGGGUUAAUACCCCGGGGUCCUGACGGUACCGGAAGAAUAAGCACCGGCUAACUUCGUG
RNAcentral lists this ribosomal RNA (490 nucleotides) under uncultured organism. RNAcentral describes it as "bacterial SSU rRNA". It matches the Rfam family "Bacterial small subunit ribosomal RNA", at positions 29 to 507 of the family's 1533-position model. The record is from RNAcentral.